RNAcentral lists this ribosomal RNA (494 nucleotides) under uncultured bacterium. Its description in RNAcentral is "bacterial SSU rRNA". It matches the Rfam family "Bacterial small subunit ribosomal RNA", at positions 28 to 517 of the family's 1533-position model. The record is from RNAcentral.
GAUGAACGCUAGCGGCAGGCUUAAUACAUGCAAGUCGAGGGGCAACAGGGGUAGCAAUACCUGCUGGCGACCGGCAAACGGGUGCGCAACACGUACAGAACCUUCCUUUAAGCGGGGGAUAGCCCAUAGAAAUGUGGAUCAAUACCCCAUAGCAAUGUUGGGUGGCAUCACUUAAUAUUUAAAGAUUUAUCACUUAAAGAUGGCUGUGCGUCUGAUUAGGUAGNGGUUGGGGUAACGGCCCACCAAGCCAACGAUCAGUAACUGGUGUGAGAGCACGACCAGUCACACGGGCACUGAGACACGGGCCCGACUCCUACGGGAGCAGCAGUAAGGAAUAUUGGUCAAUGGACGCAAGUCUGAACCAGCCAUGCCGCGUGAAGGAUGAGGGCCCUCUGGGUUGUAAACUUUCUUUUAUCUGGGAAGAAAUGCCCGUUUUCUAAUGGGUUUGACGGUACCAGAGGAAUAAGCACCGGCUAACUCCGUGCCAGCAGCCG